AGAGUAUGAUACCGGCUCAGGACGAACGCUAGCGGCGUGGAUUAGGCAUGCAAGUCGUACGAGAAUCAGUGGCUUCGCCCGCUGAGGAAAGUGGCGAAAGGGUGAGUAACGCGUAGGUAAUCUACCUUCGAGAUAGGGAUAACGGUCCGAAAGGGCCGCUAAUACCGUAUACGAUUGGAGUUCCUUCGGGAUAUCCAAUGAAAGGUGGGUCUUCGGAUCUGUCGCUCAAAGAUGAGCCUGCGUCCUAUUAGCUAGUUGGUGAGGUAACGGCUCACCAAGGCUACGAUGGGUAGCUAGUCUGAGAGGAUGAUUAGCCACAUUGGGACUGAGACACUGCCCAAACUCCUACGGGAGGCNGCAGUCGAGAAUAUUUCGCAAUGGGGGAAACCCUGACGAUGCGACGCCGCGUGGGGGGUGAAGGUCUUCGGAUUGUAAACCUCUGUGUUAUGGGAAGAAUCGCUGGUAGGUGAUAAGCUUGCUAGCUUGACGGUACCAUAGUAGAAAGCCCCAGCUAACUGCGUGCCAGCAGCUGCGGUAAUACGUGGGGGGCAAGCGUUGUCCGGAUUUACUGGGCGUAAAGCGUGUGUAGGCGGUUACAUAAGUCGAGUGUGAAAUGGCUUGGCUCAACUAAGCAACUGCGCUCGAUACUGUGUGGCUUGAGUACGGAAGAGGAAAGUGGAAUGUAAGGUGUAGCGGUGAAAUGCGUAGAUAUCUUAUAGAACACCUAUGGCGAAGGCAGCUUUCUGGUCCGAUACUGACGCUGAGUACACGAAAGCUUGGGGAGCGAACGGGAUUAGAUACCCCGGUAGUCCAAGCCGUAAACGAUGGGUACUAAGUGUAGGGGGUAUUGAUUCCUCCUGUGCUGUAGCUAACGCAUUAAGUACCCCGCCUGGGGAGUACGGCCACAAGGUUAAAACUCAAGGUAAUUGACGGGGGGCCGCACAAGCGGUGGAGCAUGUCGCUCAAUUCGAAGCAACGCGAAGAACCUUAUCCAGGGCUUGACAUCGCGCUGACCGCCAUAGAAAUAUGGCUUUCCUUUUGGACAGCGUGACAGGUGCUGCAUGGCUGUCGUCAGCUCGUGUCGUGAGAUGUUGGGUUAAGUCCCGCAACGAGCGCAACCCCUGUCGCUAGUUACCAUCAGGUAAUGCUGGGGACUCUAGCGAGACCGCUGGUGACGAGCCAGAGGAAGGUGGGGAUGACGUCAAGUCCGCAUGGCCCUUAUGCCCUGGGCUGCACACGUGCUACAAUGGUCGGUACAGAGGGUAGCCAAACCGCGAGGUGGAGCAAAUCCCAAAAAGCCGACCUCAGUUAGGAUUGUAGUCUGCAACUCGACUACAUGAAUUUGGAAUCGCUAGUAAUCGCGAAUCAGCAGGUCGCGGUGAAUAUGUUCCCGGCCCUUGUACACACCGCCCGUCACGCCAUGGAAGUCGGUAGCGCUCGAAGACGGUGGGCUAACCUUCGGGAGGCAGCUGGCGAAAGCGAGACCGAUGACUGGGGCGAAGUCGUAACAAGGUAGCCGUAGGGGAACCUGCGGCUGGAUCACCUCCUUUNU
Molecule: ribosomal RNA, 1552 nt
Filed under: uncultured bacterium
Lineage: Bacteria
Description: bacterial SSU rRNA
Rfam family: Bacterial small subunit ribosomal RNA
Source: RNAcentral